AUUGAACGCUGGCGGCAUGCCUUACACAUGCAAGUCGAACGGUAACAGGUCUUCGGAUGCUGACGAGUGGCGAACGGGUGAGUAAUACAUCGGAACGUGCCCGAUCGUGGGGGAUAACGAAGCGAAAGCUUUGCUAAUACCGCAUACGAUCUACGGAUGAAAGCAGGGGACCGCAAGGCCUUGCGCGAACGGAGCGGCCGAUGGCAGAUUAGGUAGUUGGUGGGAUAAAAGCUUACCAAGCCGACGAUCUGUAGCUGGUCUGAGAGGACGACUAGCCACACUGGGACUGAGACACGGCCCAGACUCCUACGGGAGGCAGCAGUGGGGAAUUUUGGACAAUGGGCGAAAGCCUGAUCCAGUCAUGCCGCGUGCAGGAUGAAGGCCUUCGGGUUGUAAACUGCUUUUGUACGGAACGAAAAGACUCUGGUUAAUACCUGGGGUCCAUGACGGUACCGUAAGAAUAAGCACCGGCUAACUACGUG
Molecule: ribosomal RNA, 482 nt
Filed under: uncultured bacterium
Lineage: Bacteria
Description: partial 16S ribosomal RNA
Rfam family: Bacterial small subunit ribosomal RNA
Source: RNAcentral